This 678-nucleotide ribosomal RNA is filed under the name Triticum aestivum (bread wheat). RNAcentral describes it as "partial small subunit ribosomal RNA". The record is from RNAcentral. Lineage: Eukaryota; Viridiplantae; Streptophyta; Magnoliopsida; Poales; Poaceae.
AUGUUUGGGUCUCAAUUAGUUAAACCGCGAAUUGAUAUUUGUUUCUUGGUGCAGGAGCUUCAAGGCAACAAAGGCAGUAGGCUUCACGGCAACACAUUCUAUGAUUUUCUUCCCAAAUCUGAAACUAUUUGGCCCCUAAAUUGUAGCCCCCUUGAGAAAGUCAGAGUAUUGAUGGUCUGGUCUAUGGAUGUUGACAAAUUUGAUUGCAGCCGGGACCGCAAAGAAAGUGCAGUGCUCACCGUUGUAGAUAUCUUCAGGGCAACAUCAAAUUUCAGUGAGAAGAACAUGGCCAGGCAGGGAGCUUCAUGCAUCAUUGUUCUUCUAUUCCAUAUGGCCACUCUCUACCGCGAGCGCUGUCUCUGGCAAAAGUUUAGUGAGCAGUGCCUGCCGGAGUCGCAGGACUCCUGCAGCUACCCGAAGGAGCAAUAUUUACGGACACCACUCGACGUGGCCAACCCCGCCGUGUGCACCUGGUACACGCUCACGUGCAUCAACUAUACUGACAGUGUCAACGGCGACCCACAGACUUAUGGCGUGCCAGAGGUGUCGCUGCUGCUCACCGCCGAGCUGCGUCAGUCCAAUAACUCCACCUAUGAGCACAUGUUGGCGCGCAAGUUCGCACCUGACUGCCUUGGCCCGCUCAUGGUCAUCGCAGACACUGUCAUCUUCAAAGAUUGA